RNAcentral lists this ribosomal RNA (429 nucleotides) under Chloroflexota bacterium. RNAcentral's name for it is "Chloroflexi bacterium partial 16S ribosomal RNA". It matches the Rfam family "Bacterial small subunit ribosomal RNA", at positions 355 to 776 of the family's 1533-position model. Lineage: Bacteria; Bacillati; Chloroflexota. The record is from RNAcentral.
UGGGGAAUAUUGCACAAUGGGCGCAAGCCUGAUGCAGCCAUGCCGCGUGUAUGAAGAAGGCCUUCGGGUUGUAAAGUACUUUCAGCGGGGAGGAAGGGAGUAAAGUUAAUACCUUUGCUCAUUGACGUUACCCGCAGAAGAAGCACCGGCUAACUCCGUGCCAGCAGCCGCGGUAAUACGGAGGGUGCAAGCGUUAAUCGGAAUUACUGGGCGUAAAGCGCACGCAGGCGGUCUGUCAAGUCGGAUGUGAAAUCCCCGGGCUCAACCUGGGAACUGCAUUCGAAACUGGCAGGCUAGAGUCUUGUAGAGGGGGGUAGAAUUCCAGGUGUAGCGGUGACAUGCGUAGAGAUCUGGAGGAAUACCGGUGGCGAAGGCGGCCCCCUGGACAAAGACUGACGCUCAGGUGCGAAAGCGUGGGGAGCAAACAGG